RNAcentral lists this long non-coding RNA (2674 nucleotides) under Homo sapiens (human). Its description in RNAcentral is "HSALNT0271378". Lineage: Eukaryota; Metazoa; Chordata; Mammalia; Primates; Hominidae. The record is from RNAcentral.
CAAAUCCUAUAAAAGGGCCCCACCCCUAUCUUCCUUUGCUGACUCUCUUUUCAGACUCAGCCCACCUGCACCCAGGUGAAAUAAACAGCUUUAUUGCUCACACAAAGCCUGUUUGGUGGUCUCUUCACAUGGAUGGGCAUGAAAUUUGUUGCCGUGACUCAGAUUGGGGGACCUCCCUUCGGAGAUCGAUCCCCUGUCCUCCUGCUCUUUGCUCCGUGAGAAAGGUCCACCUACAACCUCAGGUCCUCAGACUGAUGAGCCCAAGAAACAUCUCACCAAUUUCAAAUCCAGUAAGCGGCCUCUUUUAACUCUCUUCUCCAACCUCUCUCACUGUCCCUCAACCUCUUUCUCCUUUCAAUCUUGGCGCCACACUUCAAUUUCUCCCUUCUCUUAAUUUUAAUUCCUUUCAUUUUCUGGCAGAGACAAAGGAGACACGUUUUAUCCGUGGACCCAAAACUCCGGUGCUGGUCACAGACUAGGGAUGGCAGCCUUCCCUUUGUGUUUAAUCAUUGCAGGGAUGCCUCUCUGAUUAUUCACCCAGGUUUCAGAGGUGUCAGACCACGCAGGGAUGCCUGCCUUGGUCCUUCACCCUUAGUGGCAAGUCCUGUUUUUCUGGGGGAGGGGCAAGUACCCCAACCCCUUCUCUCCGUGUCUCUACCCCUUCUCCACUUUUCUGGGGGAGGGGCAAGAACCCCUCAACCCCUUCUCCUUCACCCUUAGCAGCAAGUUCCAUUUAUCUAGGGGGCAAGAAACCCCAAUCCCUUAUUUCCAUGCCCCGACCUCUUAUCUCUGCACCCCAAUCCUUAUUUCUGUGCCCCAAAGUCUUAUCUCUGCACCCCAACCCCUUAUUUCCACACCCCAACCCCUUUCCCACUUUUCUGGAGGGUAAGAACCCCUGAACCCCUUCCCUCCAUGUCUCUACUCUCUCUUUUCUCUGGGCUUGCUUCCGUCACUAUAGGCAACCUUCCACCCUCCAUUCCUGCUUCUUCUCUCUUAGCCAGUGUUCUCAAGAACUUAAAACCUCUUCAACUCACACCUGACCUAAAACCUAAAUGCCUUAUUUUCUUCUACAAUGCCACUUGACCCCAAUACAAACUUGACAGUGGUUCCAAAUAGCCAGAAAAUGGCAUUUCCAUUUUUUCCAUCCUACAAGAUCUAAAUAAUUCUUGUUGUAAAAUAGCCAAAUAGUCUGAGGUGCCUGACGUCCAGGCAUUCUUUUACACAUCAGUCCCUCCCUAGUCUCUGUUCCCAAUGCAACUCAUCCCAAAUCUUCCUUCUUUCCCUUCCACCUGUCCCCUCAGUCCCAACCCCAAGUGUCGCUGAGUCUUUCUAAUCUUCCUUUUCUACAGACCCAUCUGAUCUCUCCCCUUCUAGCCAGGCCAAGCUAGGUCCUAAUUCUUCCUCAGCCUCCACUCCUCCACCCUAUAAUCCUUUUAUCACCUCCCCUCCUCACACUCUGUCCAGGUUACAGUUUCCUUCCGUGACUAGCCCUCCCCCACCUGCCCAGCAGUUUACUCUUAAAAAGGUGGCUGGAGCUAAAGGCAUAGUCAAGGUUAAUGCUCCUGUUUCUUUAUCCCAAAUCAGAUAGCGUUUAGGCUCUUUUUCAUCAAAUAUAAAAACCCAGCCCAGUUCAUGGCUCAUUUGGCAGCAACCCUGAGAUGCUUUACAGCCCUAGACCCUAAAAAGUCAAGAGGCCGUCUUAUUCUUAAUACACAUUUUAUUACCCAAUCUGCUCCUGACAUUAAAUAAAACUCCAAAAAUUAAAUUCCGGCCCUCAAACCCCACAACAGGACUUAAUUAACCUUGCCCUCAAGGUGUGCAAUAAUAGAGGCAGCCAAGUAGCAACAUAUUUCUGAGUUGCAAUUCCUUGCCUCCACUGUGAGACAAACCCCAGCCACAUCUCCAGCACACAAGAACUUCCAAAUGCCUAAACCACAGUGGCCAGGCAUUCCUCCAGAACUGCCUCCCCCAGGAGCUUGCUACAAGUGCCAGAAAUCUGGCCACCAGGCCAAGGAAUGCCCGCAGCCUGGGAUUCCUCCUAAGCCAUGUCCCAUCUGUGUGGGAUCCCAGUGGAAAUCAGACUGUUCAACUCACCUGGUAGCCACUCCCAGGGCCCCUGGAACUCUGGCCCAAGGCUCUCUGACUCCUUCCCAGAUCUUCUCGGCUUAGCGGCUGAAGACUAACACUGCCUGAUUACCUCGGAAGCCCUGUAGACCAUCACGGACACCGAGCUUUAAGUAACUCUCACAGUGGAGGAACGUGAAAAUUCCAAAACGGAAGAUCCAGUAGGAUCUGGAGGGCUUCUCAGCCUGGCUGCUGCCACAUAACAACAAGCCUGCCCUAACCAGGAACCAUACCAGAAGAGCAUUUGGAGAAAAGUACUUUCAGCUUAACCUAAGCUGAUACAGAAAAAUACAUCACCAUCAACCUUUUGUCUACUUUUCAAACAUAUGAACUUCUCUCGAUUAUAUACCCAUCAUUCAAAUAAAGACAAUAUUUGAGUCACCAAAAGUGCCGUGCAACCUCCUUUGUCCAACUAAUUGCAUUAUAAACUUUUCUGCAGAAGAAAACACAAGUCCUUUAUUGAUCUUAGGAUGGUUUUACUCUUCUUCUAGCUGACAUCUUCUUCCCUUUCAAUAUUCCAUCACUUAAAUAUUGAUUUUUUCUUGGGGAA